GAUGAAGAACGUAGCGAAAUGCGAUAAGUAAUGUGAAUUGCAGAAUUCAGUGAAUCAUCGAAUCUUUGAACGCACAUUGCGCCCGCCAGUAUUCUGGCGGGCAUGCCUGUUCGAGCGUCAUUUCAACCAUCAAGCCCCAGGCUUGUGUUGGGGACCUGCGGCUGCCGCAGGCCCUGAAAACCAGUGGCGGGCUCGCUGUCACACCGGGCGUAGUAGAUUUUAUCUCGCUCAGGGCGUGCUGCGGGUUCCGGCCGUUAAAAAGCCUUUUUUACCCAAGGUUGACCUCGGAUCAGGUAGGAAUACCCGCUGAACUUAAGCAUAUCAAUAAGGGAGGA
Molecule: unclassified non-coding RNA, 335 nt
Filed under: soil metagenome
Description: partial contains 5.8S ribosomal RNA, internal transcribed spacer 2, and large subunit ribosomal RNA
Rfam family: 5.8S ribosomal RNA (bases 1-120)
Source: RNAcentral